GCAGUCUGCAACUCGACUGCAUGAAGCUGGAAUCGCUAGUAAUCGCGAAUCAGAAUGUCGCGGUGAAUACGUUCCCGGGUCUUGUACACACCGCCCGUCACACCAUGGGAGUUGGUAACGCCCGAAGUCAGUGACCCAACCGCAAGGAGGGAGCUGCCGAAGGCGGGACCGGUAACUGGGGUGAAGUCGUAACAAGGUACC
RNAcentral lists this ribosomal RNA (201 nucleotides) under uncultured bacterium. RNAcentral's name for it is "partial 16S ribosomal RNA". It matches the Rfam family "Bacterial small subunit ribosomal RNA", at positions 1300 to 1500 of the family's 1533-position model. The record is from RNAcentral.